RNAcentral lists this long non-coding RNA (463 nucleotides) under Nicotiana tabacum (common tobacco). Its description in RNAcentral is "long non-coding RNA (NTAB_LNC009969)". Lineage: Eukaryota; Viridiplantae; Streptophyta; Magnoliopsida; Solanales; Solanaceae. The record is from RNAcentral.
GGGACUAAUUGGAUAACCCUCCAAGUUAAUAUUAGUCUUAGUAAUUAAAUAUGACUAUACAUAUUGUAUCGUGACAUACCGAUAAUUUGAUUGCUUUCCCUUUCUCGCUUUCUCCUUUUCCUCUUUCCAUCAUUGUAAUUUUCCUUCCCUUCCGUUCAAUUUCUCAAGAUCUGAUGUAUAAAGUAUACAUAAUACCUAAUCAGGAGAAAGAAGAAGAAGAAGAAGGAGUAAUAAUACAAAGGAUCUAAUGAAAUUAAAGAAGCAUAAAAAAGUCAUAGCAGGAAACAUUUUUGCAGCUAUAACCAUACAUAAAAAUUCAGUUAAAUAAACUUCCUUUAGCUGAUCAAGACUAAGAUCAUGGUUGGCUAUCCUUUUUAAUAGAUAUUGAAGAUGAACAAUCUGAGAUAUACGGCUUGAGAAUGAGGCAAGAGAGAGUAUGGAAUGGUUGCUCCUCUUGUUUUUG